Molecule: long non-coding RNA, 373 nt
Filed under: Gadus morhua (Atlantic cod)
Lineage: Eukaryota; Metazoa; Chordata; Actinopteri; Gadiformes; Gadidae
Description: lncRNA (ENSGMOG00000023044.1)
Source: RNAcentral
CGCGAACCAUUGGUUCACCAGUAGUUAAGCUUUUUGAACCAUUCGUUCACCAGUAGUGAAGCUUUUUGUGUACCUUCAUGUAAAGUAAUGCAUCAUUCUGAGUUGUUACUCUUUCGCGAACCAUUCGUUCACCAGUAGUUAAGCUUUUUGAAUCAUUCGUUUACCAGUAGUGAAGCACUUUAGGGUUAGUUAUAAAACGCCAAACCACUGUUGAUGACAAUGAGGGAUCUACAGCCACUUUAGUUAAACAUUUAUAACAUAAUAAUAACAUAAUAACGGGGUAAUACAGAAAAUAUUAACAAUUUAAAACACAAAAAAAGGCAUUUUAAAAUGGAACAAAAAUAAAGGCUGCACUUUUAACAAGGCAUUUCUC